Nicotiana tabacum (common tobacco) is the source of this 2995-nucleotide non-coding RNA. The record is from RefSeq and is a predicted model, not a curated record. Lineage: Eukaryota; Viridiplantae; Streptophyta; Magnoliopsida; Solanales; Solanaceae.
CCUUAAUCAUUUCCCACGGUAGCGACCACCUCUCUUUCUGUUUCCUCUCCAUGUUCUCUUAUCUCACUGACCCUUAUCAUUCCUAAAACCUUGCACAAAUUCGUGCAAGGUCACUAGAAAUCAAAACCAGACAUCUAUCCUGUCUCUUUCAACCAAAAAUCCCACCAGAUGUCAAACGGACUGAGCUAUGGACAUGGGCUUUAACCAAUGGCUCUUUUCUCUUCAACUGUCGACCUUUUCCACCAUAUUGGUGCCAAGGUAAAAAUAUCGACUCUACUUUCCCUCUGAUUUCCUCUACUUUUACUUUUUUUGCUUUCAUCUGCCUUCAAUCCAUACUUUUCACUAUCUGUGAAUUCAAAUGAAGCCCUAAGUCUUCAAUGCUACUAUAAAUAGAGCUUCUAACUCUCUCACCAAACACAAAGGAAAAAUAUUAAAAAAACACACAAACACACAUUAAAGUCUGAGAAAUUUCUUUUGGCUUAAGUAUUCUGAAGUGCUUCUCGAAUUUCUCUUUUCUUUUCUUUCAUUCAUGCUCGAGUUCGAUUACUGUAAGUUGAUUGUGAGGUUGGGUUCUUAAAUGAACACAUAUCAUCCUUACUUGGUUUGUUUCUCCAAAGAAGGUCAGUGAACACUGACCUCCCACUUUCAUUCCUCAAUUGCAUAUGUGGCUCUCUGCUUAUGAUGUCCACCUAUUAAUUGCAUGUUGUUCAUGAUAUUCAUCAGUAACAUGUGAGUCUUUUAUUGUAUUUUGUAUUUGUGUUAUCCUUGUUUUAAAAUUAAUGAUGCUUUCCUGAUGAUUAUCUCUGUGUUGUUGUUAAAUCUAUGAUGGUUGAUGAAAUUUGUUUCUCAUAACUUAGUUAGCUAAAAUGAUUCUACAUUGUUGUCAUCCUCAUCGGUAAUCUUGUUGAGCCUUCAUGCUAAGUUUAAUUUUACUCUAUGUUAUAUACUACAUGUGGUCUAUCCCUGUUGAUUGAGUAAUAACCAUAUUCAUACUAUCAUGUUGACUAAGUUGAUUGAACCAUAUUCCUUAAUUUUUCUUGAUAUCCUAUUUAACUUGUUAAAAUCUUUAUAGCUGAAGAAUUAUGCUAUCUUGAUCCUCAUGCCUAUGAUGUAUGUUGUACUGGUUUAGUUCAAUGACUGAUCCUCAUUACUGGUUUCGUUCAUGUUAUCAUGUUAAUAUGUUUACUUAGCUAUGUGACUCUAAUUGACAGCUUGUUUAUGACAUUAUUUACUUAGCUAUGUGAUUCUAGUUAAAUGCUUGAGUGUGAUACUGUGAUGUUCUACACAUUUAGGAUAAAACGAUUCAUGUGUCUAUUAUGAUAAUUUGAAAUAACAGGAAUCGUGUAGUGAACUUUUUUGGAAUGAAUUAUUAAUAAAUAUGCUUACAUGUCUCAAUAUAAACUUUCUAUAUCUUGUUUGUCAUGUCCUGGUCAGCUGCAGAAUGAAUGCCUCUACUUGUUAUUCCAUGACUAUUUGACAACACUGUUUAGAGGGCCCUCACUCAUGAAUCUGAGUAUAGUUCGUUACGAUAAUUUAAAAGUCUGAUUGACUGUGCAUUGUCAUGAUUAGAUACCAUGAUCAUUAGGUUUAGGUAAAAACUAGAAUUAGCCUUCCUAUUCAAGUUAAUUACCCAUUGAUCUAGUUGAUUGGUAUGCCCUUUGGGAACUCUGAAUACUGCCAUAAGUUUUCAAUAUAGGGAAUUCUUAGAUAUAUGCCUACUUGCUUUGGAAAGUUAUGUUGAAACUGUUAUGAUGUACGUAACAUGUUCUAGUGAUGUAAACCUACUUAAGGGAAGUUCAAAAGUGUUUAGACCUUCAAUGAAGAUAAUAAAAUAAAUGUAUAUGUUUAUCUUUGUCCACUACUGAUGCCUUAGACUACUUAAUGUGGCACUCCUGAGCUUGAAAUUGUAAGUGAUAGAGUAUGUUUACUAGCAGCAUGUAACAAACUACAUGUGCUAUGUGACCCUUGUUUGAUUGUGUCCUAGUAGUGAUUCUCACAAGUGGUUUGUACAUGUUGUGAUACUUUAGCAUCAACCUCAGGGCCUUUAAUGAUAUUGGAACUCUAAAAGUCCACAUGUAGUAACUAGUCUUUAUAUUUUGUGUUUUUGAUGAGAAGUCUUAAGGUCAAUACUGUGUUAGUCAUUAGCUGCUUAUGCUCUUGUACUCUAAUGAUGGUUGCAAUGCUUAAUAUGACUAUUUGGUACCUUUGUUUGGCUAAAUCAUUGAAAGGGUUUAUGAUGAACCUUCUGUACUUAUCUCUGUCAUGCUAACUAAGUGAAACUGCCGAGUUAACAUUUGUUUGUGCUCAAACCUUUGAGGAAGAACGAGGGUCAAUGUUCAAGGGUAUUUGGGUGUGAGCCUGGUUUUGUGGUUGAGGUACACUUUCCUGGCACAAGUACUGCUCGGGGUUCAUUAGACCCUCGUGAACUUUGAAGUGUCAGUGGUCCAUUGGGGGACUUCAUAAAUAAACAUGGUUCACCCUAAGCCCUUAGUCACUAACCUUAAUUAAUCUUCAUAGGGUUAACACAGAUGAAAAUUGAAUUUACUGUAUUCUUUAGAUUUUUUUGUUAUUAAUUAUUAUAAUUUUAUCUUACUUCAUCUUUAUAUUAACAUAUGCUAAUUAUCUUCUUUUUAUUUUUCUAUGCAUGAUUGUUUGGCCUGCUGAGUUCAUUUGGAACUCAGGCCCAAGCUCAGGGAAAUUGGGAUGCUUCCUCACCUAUUGGAGUGUAACGACCCGAUCAGUCAUUUUACUUUCUAGAUCUCCGUUCCCCUAAUUAAAACUCUCCAUAUGUUCUUUUACUAUUUUAUGACUUGCGGGGAUGGUUAGUUUGGGUUUGGAAGGGUUCGGAUUGAAAUCGAAAUACUUAGUUCCUUAAUAAUUGCUUAAAAGGGGUUAAUUUUGACUUGAGUCAACAUUUUAUGUAAAAGACCUCAGAACCGAGAUUUGACAUUCCCAAUACGUGUGUAUGAUGAUUUUGGACUUAGGCAUAUAUUCA